ACUCACUGAGCCACCCAGGCAUCCUGAAAUGGAAAAUUUUAGACUGAAGGAUAAACAAGUCGUGAGGAAACACCUGGAGAGCUCUGUCCAGCUGCCAUGAGAACAUGCCUGAGUGAGCCUGCUAGAGGCUGAAAGAUCAUGUGGAACAGAGACAAAACCCUACCAGAUGAGGUCAUCAUAGAUCAGCCAAUCCCCAGAUGACCUGGCAACUGAAUGCAGAUGCAUGGAUGUGCUCAGUGAACAUCAGAAAAACUACAGGCGAGCCUAUAGCUUAAAUUUAUGAUCUGUAAAAUUGUUAGCUAAAUAAAUGUUCAUGGUUUUAGAUCACUGA
Non-coding RNA from Leptonychotes weddellii (Weddell seal), 331 nucleotides. NCBI's taxonomy places the organism in Eukaryota, Metazoa, Chordata, Mammalia, Carnivora, Phocidae. The record is from RefSeq and is a predicted model, not a curated record.